Non-coding RNA from Pelobates cultripes (western spadefoot toad), 233 nucleotides. The record is from the annotation of a GenBank genome assembly. Lineage: Eukaryota; Metazoa; Chordata; Amphibia; Anura; Pelobatidae.
ACUAAAAAUGUCCACGGCUAAGUCAUAGUCCUGAUAGUUUUAAAAAUAUGACCAUUUGUUUGCAACUCACGCCAUCCAUUGACAUUCAUUGAAAAUCCACUCUAGCCAGUUCAAAUUUGAAGGGCAAUUUGUAAACUGCAACUGUGCCUUCAUUGUUAAUAUCUCAGAGACAUACUAUGCAUCAAAAUGUAGGUCUGGGUGUUGUGAUUCUCACAAUAUAAAGCUCUUCGCUG